ACUUAUUUGGUCACUGUGCUCCGUGUAAGCCAGUUACCCUGGUUCAGAAACUUGCCGGUUUACUGAACUUUAAAAAGCCACCUUGCCGGGUGGCUUUUUAUUUU
RNAcentral lists this non-coding RNA (104 nucleotides) under Rahnella aquatilis. Lineage: Bacteria; Pseudomonadati; Pseudomonadota; Gammaproteobacteria; Enterobacterales; Yersiniaceae. The record is from RNAcentral.